GACGAACGCUGGCGGCGUGCUUAACACAUGCAAGUCGAACGGAAAGGCCCUGCUUUUGUGGGGUGCUCGAGUGGCGAACGGGUGAGUAACACGUGAGUAACCUGCCCUUGACUUUGGGAUAACUUCAGGAAACUGGGGCUAAUACCGGAUAGGAGCUCCUGCUGCAUGGGGGGGGUUGGAAAGUUUCGGCGGUUGGGGAUGGACUCGCGGGUUAUCAGCUUGUUGGUGGGGUAGUGGCUUACCAAGGCUUUGACGGGUAGCCGGCCUGAGAGGGUGACCGGCGACAAUACUACUGAGGGAGGGACCAGUCUGCUACGGGAGGCAGCAGGGGGGAAUAUUACACAAUGGGGGGAAGCCUGAUGCAGCAACGCUGCGAGCGGGAUGACGGCCUUCGGGUUGUAAACCGCUGUCGCCUGUGACGAAGCGUGAGUGACGGUAAUGGGUAAAGAAGCACCGGCUAACUACGUG
This 468-nucleotide ribosomal RNA is filed under the name uncultured bacterium. Its description in RNAcentral is "partial 16S ribosomal RNA". It matches the Rfam family "Bacterial small subunit ribosomal RNA", at positions 28 to 507 of the family's 1533-position model. The record is from RNAcentral.